This is a non-coding RNA of Parelaphostrongylus tenuis, 75 nucleotides long. NCBI's taxonomy places the organism in Eukaryota, Metazoa, Nematoda, Chromadorea, Rhabditida, Metastrongylidae. The record is from the annotation of a GenBank genome assembly.
AUCUCGGUGGUGUAGUGGUAGGUAGCACACGUCCUCGGUAUGGAUGAAACGCGGGUUCGACUUGCGUCUGAGGUC